Molecule: ribosomal RNA, 1372 nt
Filed under: uncultured bacterium
Lineage: Bacteria
Description: bacterial SSU rRNA
Rfam family: Bacterial small subunit ribosomal RNA
Source: RNAcentral
GAUGAACGCUGGCGGCGUGCCUAAUACAUGCAAGUCGAGCGAACGGACGAGAAGCUUGCUUCUCUGAUGUUAGCGGCGGACGGGUGAGUAACACGUGGAUAACCUACCUAUAAGACUGGGAUAACUUCGGGAAACCGGAGCUAAUACCGGAUAAUAUUUUGAACCGCAUGGUUCAAAAGUGAAAGACGGUCUUGCUGUCACUUAUAGAUGGAUCCGCGCUGCAUUAGCUAGUUGGUAAGGUAACGGCUUACCAAGGCAACGAUGCAUAGCCGACCUGAGAGGGUGAUCGGCCACACUGGAACUGAGACACGGUCCAGACUCCUACGGGAGGCAGCAGUAGGGAAUCUUCCGCAAUGGGCGAAAGCCUGACGGAGCAACGCCGCGUGAGUGAUGAAGGUCUUCGGAUCGUAAAACUCUGUUAUUAGGGAAGAACAUAUGUGUAAGUAACUGUGCACAUCUUGACGGUACCUAAUCAGAAAGCCACGGCUAACUACGUGCCAGCAGCCGCGGUAAUACGUAGGUGGCAAGCGUUAUCCGGAAUUAUUGGGCGUAAAGCGCGCGUAGGCGGUUUUUUAAGUCUGAUGUGAAAGCCCACGGCUCAACCGUGGAGGGUCAUUGGAAACUGGAAAACUUGAGUGCAGAAGAGGAAAGUGGAAUUCCAUGUGUAGCGGUGAAAUGCGCAGAGAUAUGGAGGAACACCAGUGGCGAAGGCGACUUUCUGGUCUGUAACUGACGCUGAUGUGCGAAAGCGUGGGGAUCAAACAGGAUUAGAUACCCUGGUAGUCCACGCCGUAAACGAUGAGUGCUAAGUGUUAGGGGGUUUCCGCCCCUUAGUGCUGCAGCUAACGCAUUAAGCACUCCGCCUGGGGAGUACGACCGCAAGGUUGAAACUCAAAGGAAUUGACGGGGACCCGCACAAGCGGUGGAGCAUGUGGUUUAAUUCGAGGCAACGCGAAGAACCUUACCAAAUCUUGACAUCCUUUGACAACUCUAGAGAUAGAGCCUUCCCCUUCGGGGGACAAAGUGACAGGUGGUGCAUGGUUGUCGUCAGCUCGUGUCGUGAGAUGUUGGGUUAAGUCCCGCAACGAGCGCAACCCUUAAGCUUAGUUGCCAUCAUUAAGUUGGGCACUCUAAGUUGACUGCCGGUGACAAACCGGAGGAAGGUGGGGAUGACGUCAAAUCACCAUGCCCCUUAUGAUUUGGGCUACACACGUGCUACAAUGGACAAUACAAAGGGCAGCGAAACCGCGAGGUCAAGCAAAUCCCAUAAAGUUGUUCUCAGUUCGGAUUGUAGUCUGCAACUCGACUACAUGAAGCUGGAAUCGCUAGUAAUCGUAGAUCAGCAUGCUACGGUGAAUACGUUCCCGGGUCU